RNAcentral lists this ribosomal RNA (443 nucleotides) under uncultured bacterium. RNAcentral describes it as "partial 16S ribosomal RNA". It matches the Rfam family "Bacterial small subunit ribosomal RNA", at positions 338 to 795 of the family's 1533-position model. The record is from RNAcentral.
CCUACGGGAGGCAGCAGUGGGGAAUAUUGGGCAAUGGGGGGAACCCUGAUCCAGCGACGCCGCGUGAGUGAAGAAGUAUUUCGGUAUGUAAAGCUCUAUCAGCAGGGAAGAAAGAAAUGACGUUCCCUUUCUAUAAAGCCCGGGCUACCUACGUGCCAGCAGCCGCGGUAAUACGGAGGGGGCAAGCGUUAUCCGGAUUUACUGGGUGUAAAGGGAGCGUGGCCGGCGAUGCAAGUCUGAAGUGAAAGGCGGGGGCCCAACCCCCGGACUGCUUUGGAAACUGUAUGGCUGGAGUGCAGGAGAGGUAAGUGGAAUUCCUAGUGUAGCGGUGAAAUGCGUAGAUAUUAGGAGGAACACCAGUGGCGAAGGCGGCUGACUGGACGGUAACUGACGUUGAGGCUCGAAAGCGUGGGGAGCAAACAGGAUUAGAUACCCUUGUAGUC